UGUUCCUGGAGAGAUACCCUCCUGUAGGUUUUAACUCCAACCCUGUUCCUGGAGAGAUACCCUCCUGUAGGUUUUAACUCCAACCCUGUUCCUGGAGAGAUACCCUCCUGUAGGUUUUAACUCCAACCCUGUUCCUGGAGAGAUACCGUCCUGUAGGUUUUAACUCCAACCCUGUUCCUGGAGAGAUACCCUCCUGUAGGUUUUAACUCCAACCCUGUUCCUGGAGAGAUACCCUCCUGUAGGUUUUUAACUCCAACCCUGUUCCUGGAGAGAUACCCUCCUGUAGGUUUUAUCUCCAACCCUGUUCCUGGAGAGAUACCGUCCUGUAGGUUUUAACUCCAACCCUGUUCCUGGAGAGCUACCCUCCUGUAGGUUUUAACUCCAACCCUGUUCCUGGAGAGAUACCCUCCUGUAGGUUUUAACUCCAACCCUGUUCCUGGAGAGCUACCCUCCUGUAGGUUUUAACUCCAACCCUGUUCCUGGAGAGAUACCUUCCUGUAGGUUUUAACUCCAACCCUGUUCCUG
Oncorhynchus keta (chum salmon) is the source of this 525-nucleotide long non-coding RNA. RefSeq lists it as uncharacterized. The transcript is spliced from 6 exons. NCBI's taxonomy places the organism in Eukaryota, Metazoa, Chordata, Actinopteri, Salmoniformes, Salmonidae. The record is from RefSeq and is a predicted model, not a curated record.